Molecule: ribosomal RNA, 723 nt
Filed under: uncultured bacterium
Lineage: Bacteria
Description: bacterial SSU rRNA
Rfam family: Bacterial small subunit ribosomal RNA
Source: RNAcentral
CCCUUAGAGUUUGAUCCUGGCUCAGAGCGAACGCUGGCGGCAGGCUUAACACAUGCAAGUCGAACGGGCGUAGCAAUACGUCAGUGGCAGACGGGUGAGUAACGCGUGGGAACGUACCUUUUGGUUCGGAACAACCCAGGGAAACUUGGGCUAAUACCGGAUAAGCCCUUACGGGGAAAGAUUUAUCGCCGAAAGAUCGGCCCGCGUCUGAUUAGCUUGUUGGUGAGGUAACGGCUCACCAAGGCGACGAUCAGUAGCUGGUCUGAGAGGAUGAUCAGCCACAUUGGGACUGAGACACGGCCCAAACUCCUACGGGAGGCAGCAGUGGGGAAUAUUGGACAAUGGGCGCAAGCCUGAUCCAGCCAUGCCGCGUGAGUGAUGAAGGCCCUAGGGUUGUAAAGCUCUUUUGUGCGGGAAGAUAAUGACGGUACCGCAAGAAUAAGCCCCGGCUAACUUCGUGCCAGCAGCCGCGGUAAUACGAAGGGGGCUAGCGUUGCUCGGAAUCACUGGGCGUAAAGGGUGCGUAGGCGGGUCUUUAAGUCAGGGGUGAAAUCCUGGAGCUCAACUCCAGAACUGCCUUUGAUACUGAGGAUCUUGAGUUCGGGAGAGGUGAGUGGAACUGCGAGUGUAGAGGUGAAAUUCGUAGAUAUUCGCAAGAACACCAGUGGCGAAAGCGGCUCACUGGCCCGAUACUGACGCUGAGCACGAAAGCGUGGGGAGCAA